GGGUUAUAACAUUCCAGGGGAUGUGUAGAUGUGAGUUUUUUGUUGUGUUUUGAAACAAGGUCUCUCUACGUAGCCCAGGCUGGCCUUGAACUCGUGGCAAUCCUCCCACCUCAGCCUCCAUGUUCUGAGAUUGCCGAUGUGAGCUACCACAUCUGACUUGUUUCCCCUUUUUCCUCUUUUUUUUUUUUUAAAAAUCAGAUUAAUUGAAGCCUAAUUGGUGAGCAACAAAUUGCAUAUAUUUGGAGUGUAUGACAGGGUAAGUCUUGACACAGGUCUAUACCCAUCACCAAAAUUGAGAUAAGGUGACGUUCAUUGCCCCUCAACAGCUUCCUUCGGUCCCUUAGUAUCUCUUCCCUCUUCUCUUUUUCCUCCUUCCCACCUCUCUCCUUUCUGCCCCUCCCUUACCGCUUUCUUCCCAGGAAACUAUUGAUCUACUGUCUGUCACACAGAUUAUGUAAUUUGCACAUUUCAGACUCUUAUAUAAGUGGAAUCGUGGAGCAUUUGUUUUUCUCUCUGACAUCUUUCACUUAGCAAAAUUAUUUUGAGAUUCAGCCAUAGAGUUGUAUGCAUCAAUAGUUUAUUCUUGGGCUGGGGAUGUAGCUCAGUGGUUCUGCCGCCUGCCUUGCAAGCACAAGGUCCUGAGUUCAAUCAGUACAAAAAAAAAGUUUAUUCUUAGUUAUUACUGGGUAUUAUUCCAUCACAUGGAUACAGCAGUUACUUACCGAUGAACAUUGGGUUAUUUCCAGUUUGGGGCAACUCCAGAUAAAGUUGCUGUGGACCUCAUGUGCAAGUCCUUGCGUGGACAUAUCCUUUCCUUUCUGUUGGGCAACUAGAUCAUAUGUGGCAAACCUGGUUUAAUAAGCCCCUCUACAUGCUCCUGCUGUGAUGACUGCCUCCCCCCAGGCCCAAAAACAACAGGGCCAACUGACCAUGGACCUGAAUCUCUGGACUGUGAACCAAAACAAACCUUUUGUCUUUAUAAGUUUAUUUUCUCAGGUAUUUGCUACAGUAACAGAAAGCUGACUAACACAUAAGUGGAAAUAGCUAUUAGGCAAUUGAAGUAAAUUAACUGAUGCUUAAAAGGCUUAGAAUUGAAUCCCAGUGGAAAUUUUAUGCAAAUAUUACAAAAGACAAUACAUUUACUGUAGAUCAGGAGUUUGAAAUUUAAUAGGUACUGAAACAAUGUUGAGCUUGAUUUGACUAAUACUUCAUGACAUAGGAAUUCACUCAGUCAAGCAUGUUUUGGCUUGGGGAGGAGUCUGAGUGCAGAAGAAAAAAGAUAGGGCUUAGUAUCUUGAAAAGGAAUCUAUUUUGCCCCUGUAAAUUGGUAAUAAGACACAGCUGACAGAAAGUGGAAGAAAAGGCAAGUACCUUAAUAGCUGCAUCUAUUGUUCUAGAUAACACCUUUUCUAUUGAAAGCUACACAAAAUAUUUAUGCAUACAGUUUUAAGAGAAAAACUGGAGUACGAGGUAGCGUUAGUAAAUGUCUUUUUGAAAUCAGGUUUGUGGUAUUUUAAAAUCUGUGAGCAUCUUCACAAAGUAAAGACAGCAAUGGAAACUGAUUGUGGUUGAGUCCCACAGCUCACCUCUAAAUCUUCGUGUAUCAUUUAGAACCCUGAACUCGUACUCCCCCAAAUCACUUUUCUGUAAUUCAUUGUUAUGGCCCAGCUUUUAAAGAUCUUCCAAAGAUGUUCCAUAAUUCCUUUAAUAAAUUGUUCUACUUUAAAAUUUACAAAAACUUAUAAACUUCUUAAAUGAUAGAGAGAUGGUAUACUAUGCUGAACUCUACAAAAAUUUCCUGUCAUCCACAACAGGAAGGAAGGAAGUAAGCAAAGAGAGAUUACAUACAGUGGGAGCUUGGUACAGUUCUCACUGUUAACUGGUUCUGGGAAGCACCCGUGAAUGCCAAAAACACAAGUGCCAAGCACAUUUGCUGUUGGUACCGACAGAUCCUAACUUGCAUGCAGCUACCGAACUUGGGGAGCACCGGAACAAAAUCUGCUCCAAAUGCUUUGAGUCCCAGAUUCAACGAGUUUCAAAGCAGUGGAGUACGAUGGUGUGACUCUUUUGGAAAGAUUGUUAGGAAGAUGAUAAUGAGAUGACUAGUUUCUAGAUUAAAAGCUUCUCACUCACGUUUUGUUUGACCUUAUCACAAUCAUUGUGGAGGUUUGGAGUUUCGACUUGAUCGGCUUUGGCAUCUUCCCUGGGGAUUGGCCAAGCACACUUCUGGAUGCAUCUGGGUGUGUCAGAGAAGCAUGGCCUUAGGGUCUGUGUUAGUCCCUCGCCCACUCUGCUCCUCUGUUCCUGGCACUGUUCCCCUCCUCUGCUGCCUGGCUCCAAGCCCUUCUGCCUUGUGUUUCUGCUUUGGAGAAUUUCUAGCAUUGACUGCAUCCUGUGAACCAUUAGCCAAGUUUAACCUGUUGCUAGAACAAAAUACCUGACAAAAACAGACAUCAAUGACUAUGAUAUUUGAUUGUUGAACAGAUAAAUGCAUCAAAGUUUAAGAAGUACUAAUUUAGUCAUUUAACAAAAAUGUAUCAAGAGGGCUGGGGAUUUAGCUCUGUGGCACCAUGCCUGCCUCGCAAGCACAAGGUCCCAAGUUCGAUCCCUGGUACCAAACAAAUAAAAAUAAAAAAGAAUCUACUUUUAUAUAAAGACUAAAGGUUGAUGUUCUUGACUUUAGUGUAAACAAUAAAAGCUCUUAGUGACCAUAGAGUUUCUGUUGAGUCAGACACUUAUAGUUAUGUAAACCAAAGUGAUGUGAGUGACUUCUUGCAGUAGCAGAUCAUUUUUUUUCACUUAACUCAGAUUAUCAAUUUAUUUUAGGCAUAGAAUUCAAUUUCCUUCCCAUAUAUUUAUGUCCUUGAAAGCUUCUAAAAGCUGCUUCCUGUUUUCCAUAUGAUAGGUGGCUGCAUUUACUGGUAGAUGACAUAUUUAUGUCAUUUGAAAAGGUCUAUGGCAUAUGAUUUGACCUUUGAGUGAAGUCAUUACAUAAAUGUCACUUGUCAUUAUUCAGCUGUGGGGGGAAAAAUAAGCUUUAAAUAUAGUCAAGUACUCCUACCUGGAACAAAAUAAUAUACUUCUUUGUUAUAAGUAAGAACGGUUAGCUUCUGCAUCCUGUACCCUACUAAGCAUGAACUUGUUGACCAUUUUAUGUUCAGUUGGUCUGUUUGUUGCGAAGCUCUGCUCACUCCUUCAUGCUGACAGUGAGUACUGUCUCACGCUGUGUUAUACUUCUCUCUUAGAGCAGCAGCAUGCUCCAGGUGGUGAGCCAAUAGCAAUGACCUCACUGAGCAGGAAGCAAAACAUCAUACAGGGAUAACAUCACAGUGAAGGAAGAAAAGGAAGAGAAGUGUAGGGCCCUUCUGUCUGCAUACAAGGACUGGAAGACACAAGGAGAGGAAAGGCAUGAUGGAUACAUUUCCCACUGCACCCCGUUAUCAGAUUACAGUAGUGUCACACAUGAGGGAUUACUGCGGUUCUCUUCUGUGACAGUUGAGUGAUUGUGUCAACUUGAGAAGUCGGUUAAGCAAAGCUUGGCUAAAUGGGCUCAACAAUUCCACACCCUGGGGCAUGGAGGACUCACCCUAGGGUCCCUGGGGCCCGGAUGCUACAAAGGGGAAAUGAGGAAGGAGGCUCUGCCUCUGUUCCUUCCGAGGAGCUCCAGACUUUGCCUUGGACGUCAUCUCCUGGCUUCCAGCGCAGACUCUCCAGGUUCCGGAACAAAUCCUUCAGCUUCUGGUGCAGACUCUUCAGCCUUCCAUCCCAGACCCAUCGGCCUCGUGGUACGGGCUCGCACGGGGCACUGCAGUGAGCUCCAGGCCUUCAACUGAAUCCUAGACUCCAGUGUGCAGACAGACCCUCUGCACCCUUCCUCAUUGACUCUGUGGGCGCCAUUGUGGGCCAGUCUUGUGAAUUCAUAUACAUUUGUGCAUCUUGUGUGGUGUCUGUCCCUCGAGUACAUAUGACUGAUACGUCUUCCCAUGAGAGACAUUAUGGUUUAUCUCACCAAGUACUCAUUAAGUGAUUUUCUUUGGUAGCCUCUGUCUGAACACUAUCAUGUCAUUUCUGUAGCUCUGAGCUUAUGUUCUCCAGGAAAGCAGACAUGAGCCAUAUGUAGCCCUUUAAUUUUAAAUUGAAUAAAAUUGUAUUAAGAAUUUGUUUUCUCAGUUGCACUAGGUACAUUUCAAGUGCUCAUAUGUGGCUGUG
This 4209-nucleotide long non-coding RNA is filed under the name Heterocephalus glaber (naked mole-rat). RNAcentral describes it as "lncRNA (ENSHGLG00100045845.1)". Lineage: Eukaryota; Metazoa; Chordata; Mammalia; Rodentia; Bathyergidae. The record is from RNAcentral.